Molecule: long non-coding RNA, 572 nt
Organism: Sebastes umbrosus (honeycomb rockfish)
Lineage: Eukaryota; Metazoa; Chordata; Actinopteri; Perciformes; Sebastidae
Exons: 3
Source: RefSeq, a predicted model, not a curated record
GUGUGUGUGUGUGUGUGUGCGUGCGUGCGUGCGCGUGCGUGUGUGUGUGUGCGUGUGUGUGUGUGUCUGUGUACAUUUGGUAGCAUUGACACUAUCUAUCCACCUACCUACCGACGGGUAAGAGAAGAAAUAAAGAGGACUGAAAAUAGAGAUAAUGAGAGGGAUGGUGGAAGGGAUGCAGCAACAUAAGAUCAGGAGCAGCAUGAUCACAGGGCGUGGUGGUGCAUUGCCCUCCUCUCACCACAAGGUGGGUCACCUGUUCCACUUCAGAGAGAGAGAGGGAAGAAGAAGAAGAAGAAGAAGAAGAGGAAGGGCAGACAGCAGAGAGCAAAGAGGUUUCUGUGGUUGCCUGCUGCCUUUGAACAGGAAGGGUGGUCCCAAUGCCAACAGUGCAUCACUGAAUCAAAAGUAAUAUCACCAUUAACGGAUUACAGCAGAGCCUCACAUGGACUCAAUUUUGAUUUCAACAAUAUUAAAUAUGUCACAUAUGUUAUGGUCUCUUUGCCCAUGUAUAGUACAGGACAAACAAUAAAGGAAGUCUGGCUAGUGAUGUGAAACUGGCAGCUUAAAAU